UCCGGUUGAUCCUGCCGGAGGCUACCGCUAUUGGAGUUCGAUUAAGCCAUGCGAGUCGAGAGUCCUAGGGACUCGGCGUACCGCUCAGUAACACGUGGGUAACCUGCCCUAUGCUGGGGAAUAACCUCGGGAAACUGAGAAUAAUGCCCCAUAGUCCACCAUGCCUGGAACGGUUGGUGGAUCACAGCCCCGGCGGCAUAGGAUGGGCCUGCGGCGUAUCACGUUGUAGGGGGUGUAACGUACCCUCUAGCCAUCAACGCGUACGGGUGUUGGGAGACAUAGCCCGGAGAUGGAUUCUGAGACACGAAUCCAGACCCUACGGGGUGCAGCAGGCGCGAAAACUUGGCAAUGCGAGAAAUCGUGACCACGGAACUCCAAGUGGCUGGGGUAAGACCCAGUCUUUUCUUGACUCUUCAAAGGUCUUGGAAUAAGGGGUGGGUAAGCGACCGUGCCAGCCGGCGCGGUAGUACCGGCGCCUCCAGUGGUAGUCGAUUUCAUUGGGCCCUAAACGUCCGUAACCUGUUUGGUACAUACAUGGGUCAAUCACCAGCUCACUGGUUGAUUCUGC
Molecule: ribosomal RNA, 568 nt
Filed under: uncultured archaeon
Lineage: Archaea
Description: bacterial SSU rRNA
Rfam family: Archaeal small subunit ribosomal RNA
Source: RNAcentral